Molecule: small nuclear RNA, 199 nt
Organism: Suricata suricatta (meerkat)
Lineage: Eukaryota; Metazoa; Chordata; Mammalia; Carnivora; Herpestidae
Gene: U2
Rfam family: U2 spliceosomal RNA
About the family: U2 is a small nuclear RNA (snRNA) component of the spliceosome (involved in pre-mRNA splicing). Complementary binding between U2 snRNA (in an area lying towards the 5' end but 3' to hairpin I) and the branchpoint sequence (BPS) of the intron results the bulging out of an unpaired adenosine, on the BPS, which initiates a nucleophilic attack at the intronic 5' splice site, thus starting the first of two transesterification reactions that mediate splicing.
Source: Ensembl
AUCGCUUCUCGGCCUUUUAGCUAAGAUCAAGUGUAGUAUCUGUUCAGGUCAGCUUUAUAUUUCACAUUGCUAUAAACCUAUCUGAUUAUUGCAGUUUUGUGUGACAGAUUGCAUUUUUCAAAAAAUGGCUGACAUAAUACUUCCCAUCUCAUGGGUCUUCUAGAAUCUUAGCAUUCCUCCAUUAGAAGGUGUAAGCUCU